This 451-nucleotide ribosomal RNA is filed under the name uncultured bacterium. RNAcentral describes it as "bacterial SSU rRNA". It matches the Rfam family "Bacterial small subunit ribosomal RNA", at positions 9 to 507 of the family's 1533-position model. The record is from RNAcentral.
AGGUUUGAUCAUGGCUCAGACGAACGCUGGCGGCAGGCUUAACACAUGCAAGUCGAACGCUCGUAGCAAUACGGGAGUGGCGGACGGGUGAGUAACGCGUGGGAACGUGCCCUGAGGUACGGAAUAACUGAGGGAAACUUCAGCUAAUACCGUAUGAGCCCCGAGAGGGGGAAAGAUUAUCGCCUUGGGAGCGGCCCGCGUCGGAUUAGCUAGUUGUGGGGUAACGGCCUACCAAGGCUUCGAUCCGUAGCUGGUCUGAGAGGACGAUCAGCCACACUGGGACUGAGACACGGCCCAGACUCCUACGGGAGGCAGCAGUGGGGAAUCUUGCGCAAUGGGGCAACCCUGACGCAGCCAUGCCGCGUGAACGAUGAAGGCCUUAGGGUUGUAAAGUUCUUUACCCGUGACGAUGAUGACGGUAACGGGGGAAUAAGCUCCGGCUAACUUCGUG